GACAGGGGGUGCAAACGUUGUUCGGAAUCACUGGGCAUAAAGCGCACGUAGGCCGCCGACUAAGUCAGAUGUGAAAGCCCCCGGCUCAACCGGGGAAUAGCACCUGAUACUGGUUGGCUCGAGGACGGUAGGGGUGAGUGGAACUCCAGGUGGAGCGGUGAAAUGCGUAGAUAUCUGGAGGAACGCCGGUGGCGAAAGCGGCUCACUGGACCGUCUCUGACGCUGAGGUGCGAAAGCUAGGGGAGCAAACGGG
RNAcentral lists this ribosomal RNA (253 nucleotides) under uncultured bacterium. RNAcentral's name for it is "partial 16S ribosomal RNA". It matches the Rfam family "Bacterial small subunit ribosomal RNA", at positions 524 to 776 of the family's 1533-position model. The record is from RNAcentral.